Molecule: non-coding RNA, 1394 nt
Organism: Misgurnus anguillicaudatus (oriental weatherfish)
Lineage: Eukaryota; Metazoa; Chordata; Actinopteri; Cypriniformes; Cobitidae
Source: RefSeq, a predicted model, not a curated record
GUCUCUCACAGAAAUCGGUGUGGACCUGAGGACUCAGGUCCAAGAGAGGGAGAGUGUUGAAAGUGAAAGUGAAUCAGCUGGAAUACAGAGAGAACAAACAGGAAGUGAAACAUCAGUGCCCAGCAACAGAACCUUUAGCACACUGCACAGAUUGUGCCUACGGAGCAGGUAUAGCCGUACAAUUCAAGACCAAGUACGGAACACAAAAGGUUGUAAGACAGAACAAACACACAGGUGAAUGUGCAGUUACUCAUGAGGACGACGGCAGACUGAUUUUUCAUUUAAUAACCAAACAAAACUGUACUGAUUUACCAACAUAUGAGAAUUUUACCAACAGCCUCAGAUGUAUGAGAGAUUGGUGUGAGGAAAAAGGAAUAACAAGUGUAUCCACUCCCCGGAUGGGGUGUGGGUUAGAUAAAUUGGAUUUCCAUAAGGUGGAGAUCCUGACAGAAGUGAUUGUAAACGUCAUAUAAGUGUAUGUUUUUCCAUCAUUUUACUUCUUUUGCUAUACUCUUACCUGUUAUUAAGUUUCAAUUUAACAGUGUUUUUUUUUUUUUAUUAAGCCAAUAGGCAUAAGUGUAUUUUUUCCACAGAGAUGAAGCUAUAUGGCAAUUGGAAGGUUCUGUGGGCCCUAGGGGUUAUAACUGCAAUUAUAAUCACCAUAAUAUUUAGCAUAAACAAUGGAGGUAAUCUGAAAAUUGACAAAAGGUCCAAAACUACAUCACAAGAUUAGUGUGUACAGGGAUAUGGGGGAAUUGAAUUGAAUUACACAAAAAAUUCAACGACGUCAUACACCUUUGCAGUAUGAUAGAUUGUGGAGGGCAAUAGUAACCUCCAUAGUAGUGUCCAUUGGUGUAUUCGUGGCCAUCCUGGUGACCUGUGGAUGUUGUUGCAUUCCCUGUCUUAGAUCCCUGUGCAACAGAUUAAUAGUAUCUGCAAUAGAGAAAAAAGAGAACAAUCCACCCCCAUGUAGCAUGCCCCUAUUAGGCUUACAGAACCUGGAUGAGGAGGAAUAAGAAAAUGUGUGACCUCUUUCAGAGGUCAAGAGAGGGAAUUGUGGGAUUUGAUUUUAUUUUAUUAGUCGUGCUGUUUAUAAUCUUAAUUCAUGUGUAUUUUUAAAACAAUGAUUUCUGUGCUGAGUACAAGAGAGCUGUCUGUGUGUGGAGGGUUAUUGGGGGGAGGUAGCUUGAGUGAAGGAAUUUCCAGCUGGUGAUGGCCGAGAUAAGAGCAAAGCUUUAAGGAGAAAACACACAGACAAAGAAGUGCAUGCUUUUGAUAUUAGUUCACUGGCAAUCAUUCAUUUCCAGAUUGUUACAUGUAGAGGUGUUUGGAUUUAUAAAAUUACAUGUUGCUAUGAAUAUUAAUGUGUUAAAAUAUAUAAAUGAUUAUGCCUU